Long non-coding RNA from Biomphalaria glabrata, 844 nucleotides. RefSeq lists it as uncharacterized. The transcript has 2 exons. Lineage: Eukaryota; Metazoa; Mollusca; Gastropoda; Planorbidae. The record is from RefSeq and is a predicted model, not a curated record.
GUGUGAGAGUUAUUAAUUAGAUUCAUAGUUGUUAUCAAAGCUCACCGAUAGACUUGACAGACCAGACAAAGGUUAGGACAAUGUCAGGUGUUUGUCUUGUAGAGAGACUGCUAUGUGGGUCGGGACAGACACAGACAAUUAGUAAUGUUAGUUUAGGUGUAGGCUAGAUACUCAGCCUAUAUAGAGUAGAGUUUUGGGGCAGUCGGGACACAGCGCCAUGUAGUGCUAGCAGGGGCGUGUGUCGUGUGCUAGGCGUUCUCUGGUGAACGACACAUACAGACAUUGGGAGCAAGUCGCUGAGGCUGGCUCGCGAUCUUGGCUCCAAGAGGUGUGAGUUGUUUGCCAGAGACAACAUGUAGGAACUAAUUCUUAGGGACCAGGAGUGACAGUCUUAGUGACAUUCUGACAGUCUGGGUAGCAGUCUUUAGCAUGAGGCAGUCUUAGCGUAGAGACACUGAAUAGAUGUUAGCGACAGUGGCGUAGUCAGCAAGACAAAGAGCGACAUGCAGUAAUUGACAUGGACAGCGGUACUGAACUCUGAUGCAGUCUGCGGCGUUGGGUCCAGUGCAUGGAGGAUGGAGUAGCCGUGGUGGUCUGAUUGGCAUGGGUGAUUAAUUGCUGUAUUGUUGAUUAUGUCUUCAUUGUUUAUUAUGUUAACAGAUAUCAUAGUUUUAUUAGUACAUAGUAUUGAAGCCACUUGUCUUAUGUUAUUAAUUUUAUGUUAUUCAUAAUAUAUGUUUGUAGUUAUCAAUUCAUUUCAUCAAUCUAUCAUUACAUGUAUUACUUGAUUUUAAAGUGGCCAUCGAUGCCCUAUUUAGAACAUUAAAUAUUAGUUUUAAUUAGA